CGGGAAACUGGGGAUAAUACCGGAUGGAUCACUCAUGCUGGAAUGCUAGGUGGUCGAAAGGUAACGCCCUUGGAUGGGUCUGCGGCGGAUUAGGUUGACGCCGGUGUAACGUACCGGCGUGCCUGUAAUCCGUACGGGUUGUGGGAGCAAGAGCCCGGAGAUGGAUUCUGAGACACGAAUCCAGGCCCUACGGGGCGCAGCAGGCGCGAAAACUCUACAAUGCAGGCAACUGCGAUAGGGGGACAUCGAGUGGCAUCCACCUUGGGUGCCUGUCCAACCGUCUAAAAAACGGUUGUUAGCAAGGGCCGGGUAAGACCGGUGCCAGCCGCCGCGGUAAUA
Molecule: ribosomal RNA, 339 nt
Filed under: uncultured archaeon
Lineage: Archaea
Description: partial 16S ribosomal RNA
Rfam family: Archaeal small subunit ribosomal RNA
Source: RNAcentral